UAUGUAUUUUAUAUUUUGAUAUUUUUAAAUACUAUGCAUAAAAACCAUUUUAGGGCAGACAUUUCAAAACGGACAUAACUCCUGGAAUGAAAAAUUAUCACUUUUCUUUGAAUUCAUCCAAAACGGUGCUGAUAUUUGUCUACUCCUAAACUCCUUUUCUCCUUAUUACAAUACAUGUAACUGCCUGGUGGUUGUUUCUGGAUCCCUGGAGACUCAAGUCUUUGUUUUGUUUUUGUUUUGUUUUUAUUUUAAACGAUGUGCUGUUGGGUUCUUGUGCAUUUAUAUUGCCUCGUCUUGGUCAGAUAACCAUUGUUGUCAAAAGGGGUCUGGUGUCAACUAAUAUAAACUUUUCAAAGAUCUUCUCUGAAUCUAUACUACAUCAAUUUUUAUACAGCCAAAUUUGGCAGCCAGGAGUGAUCUUUAAAGCGUGUAGAAAUAUAGCCCAUUAUCAAACAAGUC
This 459-nucleotide long non-coding RNA is filed under the name Mytilus galloprovincialis (Mediterranean mussel). The record is from RNAcentral. Lineage: Eukaryota; Metazoa; Mollusca; Bivalvia; Mytilida; Mytilidae.